UUGACCUCAAAUCAGGUAGGACUACCCGCUGAACUUAAGCAUAUCAAUAAGCGGAGGAAAAGAAACUAACAAGGAUUCCCCUAGUAACUGCGAGUGAAGCGGGAAAAGCUCAAAUUUAAAAUCUGGCGGUCCUCUGGGCCGUCCGAGUUGUAAUCUGGAGAAGCGUUUUCCGCGUCGGACCGUGUACAAGUCUUCUGGAACGGAGCGUCGUAGAGGGUGAGAAUCCCGUCUCUGACACGGACCGCCGAUGCUUUAUGUGAUACGCUCUCGAAGAGUCGAGUUGUUUGGGAAUGCAGCUCAAAAUGGGUGGUAAAUUCCAUCUAAAGCUAAAUAUUGGCGAGAGACCGAUAGCGAACAAGUACCGUGAGGGAAAGAUGAAAAGCACUUUGGAAAGAGAGUUAAACAGUACGUGAAAUUGUUGAAAGGGAAACGUUUGAAGUCAGUCGCGUCGGCCGAGACUCAACCUUGCCAUCUCGGCUCGGUGCACUUCUCGGUUGACGGGUCAGCAUCAAUUUCGGCCGUCGGAUAAAGGCCGAGGGAACGUGGCACCUUUCGGGGUGUGUUAUAGCCCUCGGUUCGCAUACGACGAUUGGGAUUGAGGAACUCAGCGCGCCUUCAUCGGUCGGGGCUUCGGCUCACGUUAACGCGCUUAGGAUGCUGGCAUAAUGGCUUUAAGCGACCCGUCUUGA
RNAcentral lists this ribosomal RNA (689 nucleotides) under uncultured fungus. RNAcentral describes it as "eukaryotic LSU rRNA". It matches the Rfam family "Eukaryotic large subunit ribosomal RNA", at positions 1 to 657 of the family's 3401-position model. Lineage: Eukaryota; Fungi. The record is from RNAcentral.